AGGCUUUCUAUGAGUCUCCUCUA
RNAcentral lists this non-coding RNA (23 nucleotides) under Arabidopsis thaliana (thale cress). Lineage: Eukaryota; Viridiplantae; Streptophyta; Magnoliopsida; Brassicales; Brassicaceae. The record is from RNAcentral.